Molecule: long non-coding RNA, 1999 nt
Organism: Scylla paramamosain (green mud crab)
Lineage: Eukaryota; Metazoa; Arthropoda; Malacostraca; Decapoda; Portunidae
Exons: 2
Source: RefSeq, a predicted model, not a curated record
CCUUGACAGUGGAGAGAACGGCCGCUAUUUUGCCUGUUAUUUUUCCAUCGUAACUAAUUGAGGCAAUGGCGGAUAUAUCUAGCUAGCGGAUAUGAAAGCCUAGUCAUGGGGCUCCACUUAGUGACGUGUUAGGCUUACAAUAAGUGAGAAAUGAAGCAGAUAUUGGCGGACAAAUGGGGAAGGCUGCCUCCACCUCAGCUGAUAACAUUAAUAGUAAUUGACGAACACAACACACCACGUGGAGAGAAGCAAGGUGUGGAGUACCUAAGCCUCUCACAGUCCAUGCUAGUAGACUCACCCUGCAUGUGGAGAUCUCCCAAAAUGCACGGAGGUUAUUCCAGAGCUGCAGGACAGAGUACUUGAGGCCAUUGGUGAACAGAAAGCUGAGGUUGAACAAAGGUAGAGUAAAGAUGACACUGACAUUUGGGACAUUGACAUUGUUUGUUACCAGUAUUAUAUUGAUUCCUUUUAUUUCAGCCAAGAAUUGAUAGCUGCCCAAGGUGUAAGCAAGAUUCACAAUGAUGAGGUCAUUGUGACGUGUGCAAUGUGUCCACUGGUCUUGGCCUUCCUGACCAAGGCAGCCACACAAAGGAAAUUCCACGUUAUUGUUGCCGAACGUGCCCCUAAAUAUGAUGUAAGGUGUUUUAUGCGUCUCUUUCACGUCAUCGUGUCUGAUGUGCACAAUACAUAACACAGGGACUGCCACACGUAGGGGUGAUGGCUUCUUGCAGCUUCCUUUAUUUUAUUAUGUUCUUAUGUUCUCAAUACAUCUUUUACUUGUGCAGGGUCACCCAGUGGCAAAAGCUUUAUGUACUGCUGGAAUUGAGACAACAUUAAUUCAAGACUCUGCAGUGUUCCCCAUCAUUUUUUCAUUUGCUUUCCUUGUUGGGCCUGGGCUGACCUCAGGAGACAUCAGUAUUUGUCAGCUUUAUGCACAAACUGUUAUUUAGCACUGUACUUCAUCUCCCAGUAAAACUUCUGAUCCUAAAUGCAUCAAAUGAAAGGCCUUUAUGUUUUACUUAUGAGUGAGAUAAACAACUUACUCAAUUUAUUAUACAGUAAAAUCCCUCUCAUCCGGCAGCUUCAAGUAUCCGGCACAUUUUUCCCCGAGCCUUAAAAUCAAUAAAAAAUCAAUGUGUACUCAGAAAAUCAAUUAAAAUUCCCACGCGAGGCAUACUCCGUCCCCUUGCCACCACAGCGCACUGCUUCGCGCCACCCGCAGCCCACUGCACCGUGUUUACUCAGUGACUCAGUCCCGCGUGUGCACUGUUUAUCGCCUGACGCCUUCAUCACGCCUAAAGUUGUAGAAAAAAGGAAGUGUGUUGUGCUUACACUUAAGCAGCUGAUCAGAUCAGCUGAUCAUUGUUGUGGUAAGAUGCGUGAGUGUAGGGUGGUCGUUGUGGACAUAAUUUCACUUCUAUUCAAGUAUCCGGCACGUCGGCGGUCCCGUUGAUGCCGGAUAAGAGGGAUUUUACUGUACCCUGUUUAUCUUGCACAUCUACUCACUUAGCUUUAAAUAAUGGCUGCUGACCAUUUAAAUCUCUUUUAUUUCAGUCGAGGUACUGCACCAUCCUACGUGUACCGGCAGCUUAGCGAACUGUACCGUCCCACUUCUUGUGUAACAAGAAGGUAACAGCUUUAAUCCUUGCAAAUAAGGAAUAAGAGAAAAGAGACACACCUGCCAUUUGUACUGUUAUGCUGUAGUGUUCUGUCAUUUUUUUCCUCUUUUAUCCUAGAACCAUUUUUGGUCAUUCAUGUUUCUAAAAAUUAUUAUACAAAAAUGUUGAGCUUAAUAUGUUUGGUGUAGUUUUUUGUAACAUGUGUUAUUGUUAAUGUGUGUGGUUCCCCUCAGGAAGAAUGUUGCAGUAUUAGCAGUAAUGUUACAGCCAAUGGAAGUGUCUGUAUUGUGCUUUGGUGGGAGGUUAAUUUGAUGUAUUUUUAGAGUUGUGCAGGAUAUUAUAGCAAGCCCUCAAAAUAAAGAAAAUAACUAUAGAAAACA